Molecule: ribosomal RNA, 363 nt
Filed under: Triticum aestivum (bread wheat)
Lineage: Eukaryota; Viridiplantae; Streptophyta; Magnoliopsida; Poales; Poaceae
Description: partial small subunit ribosomal RNA
Source: RNAcentral
AUGGAUUUCAUGGACGGUCUACCACAGUCCAACAAAUGCAACUGCAUCCUGGUGGUGGUCGACAAAUUUACCAUAUAUGCCCAUUUCCUUCCUCUAACUCACAACUUUACAGAUGCGAAAGUUGCUCAUUCCUACCUGGAAAAUGUCUAUAAAAUGCAUGGCCUACCAGAAGCUAUCAUCUCUGAUCGGGACCUAGUGUUCACCAGCAAGUUUUGGAGCGAGCUGCUCCGUGUUGUCGAUACUGAACUCUCUAUGAGCACGCCAUAUCACCCCCAUAUAGAUGGUCAGACCGAGCGCGUCAACCAGUCCUUGGAGAUUUAUCUACAAUGUUUCAUACAUGCAUGUCCAGGCAAGUGGAGUUAG